Molecule: ribosomal RNA, 253 nt
Filed under: uncultured bacterium
Lineage: Bacteria
Description: partial 16S ribosomal RNA
Rfam family: Bacterial small subunit ribosomal RNA
Source: RNAcentral
GACGAAGGAUGCAAGCGUUAUCCGGAUUCAUUGGGUUUAAAGGGCGCGUAGGCGGAUUGGUAAGUCAGUGGUGAAAUCUUUGGGCUUAACCCAGAAACUGCCAUUGAUACUGCUGAUCUAGAGUACAGUUGCCGUUGGCGGAAUAUGACAUGUAGUGGUGAAAUACUUAGAUAUGUCAUAGAACACCGAUUGCGAAGGCAGCUAACGAGGCUGUAACUGACGCUGAGGCUCGAAAGUGCGGGGAUCAAACAGG